CUUAGCCUCACAGAUAGGGACAACAUUUGGAAACGAAUGCUAAUACCUGAUAUUAUGAUUAUAUGGCAUCGUAUGAUUAUGAAAGCUAUAUGCGCUGUGAGAGAGCUUUGCGUCCCAUUAGCUAGUUGGAGAGGUAACGGCUCACCAAGGCGAUGAUGGGUAGCCGGCCUGAGAGGGUGAUCGGCCACAAGGGGACUGAGACACGGCCCUU
This 211-nucleotide ribosomal RNA is filed under the name uncultured bacterium. RNAcentral describes it as "partial 16S ribosomal RNA". It matches the Rfam family "Bacterial small subunit ribosomal RNA", at positions 124 to 334 of the family's 1533-position model. The record is from RNAcentral.